UCAUUUUCUUAUAAAUCCUCACAAAUUUCAGCGUAUUAGCGAGUGAAUGAACAAUGACGUAAUUGUGCCUUUACCUUCAAAUCCGUCGUUUCUGCUCAUGCAAACACGACAUUCAACUUAAUUCCUCGCUUGCAAAUCAUCAUGAAUAGUCCAGUUCCUUAAAACGAAUACAGGCUCUGUUUCAGUUUUUAAAGACUGAUUGCAAAUUAAGAAUGGAUGAGUCAAUUUACUGAUAAGCCACCAAACUCUAAUACUUUGGAUUUGGAUCACAUUUUGGAUUACAUCGUAUAAUCAAAGGGAUGGAUAACAUCCUCUUUUAGUUUCAAAUCCAAUAGACCGUCUAAUUAACACUCAAUGGGUCAAAAUCAAUCUAAUUGGACACACAUAAGAUUCCAUAUCACCUCAAACAGAGAAGAAAUAACGAAUCCUUCAAUAUGCCACUAAUUUGAAACAAAACGGCAAGAAAAAAAGUUUCACAAUCAUAAAACCUAUCUCAACUCUUUCUUCAAACAGAUUCCGUGCUAUUUUCAGUCACCAUUCAGAGGUUCAGCAAAAUUAUUGAGCUUAAAACAAAGAACAUGCAUCUCGCACCAGCAAGUAAGUAGUAACAUACAUUCAACUACACUCACUUGCCACAAUCUCAAAGCAAAACCAACAUUGUUUCAUUCAAAAAACGAAGAUAAACACUUAUUUUCAAAGCAACACCGAAGCAUUCAUCAAUUCAGCACAGAACUAAAGUUUAUACACCGAUAUAUCUAUAUUGUGGAAUAGCAUUGGAGUGAAUUGAAAUGGCCUUCGAAUUUCAAACCUCUCACUUACAAUACGUCCCUCUAUUAAAAGUUGCUGAUCCGUUCAAGAUGGUGGGGCCAUGAUCUCACGGCAGCGACUGAGUACCGUGGAGUAAUCUGUGGAAGUGAGAGAGAAAUAAUAAUCUUGUCUAUUAAUUUAUAUUUUAAAAUAAUAAUUUACACAUAAAAGUUCGCAGAGAUAAUAUCUUAAUUCUAAAUUGUAAACUCUAAACUUAUAUUAUUGAUAUUUAAGGUUUUAAUCUUUUAUAUUAUAGCAAGAGUUUUGUCGCUGUGUUUAUUAAUUUUAAUAUUUUUUAUUAUAUCAAACUUCAUACGUAAAAUAUGAUUAUUAGUUUUAUCAAAUUAUAGAUAAUGAGUUUAAUUUUGAUAUAGUAUUAAUUAAGUUUUUUAAUAGUCAACUAUUAAUAAUACACUUUCUAGUAAUUCUUUUACACCAAUUUAUAUAAUAAGAUAAAAGUAAAUAAUAUUAUUAUAUUUAUACAAUUCUCAUAACUUAUGAAAAAUCUAAUUAAUAUAUAAUAAUAAUUUCUUGCAAUCUCAAAUAUAUUUAUACAUAAUAUGAUAGACACAUUGAUGGUAUGAGCAUCUUAUCCAUAAACAUAAGUUAUAAAAAAUGAAAAGAUUAAGAAAAUCACUUUGCUUCUCCACUCCACCAUCAAAAGUGUAUCUAAUAUAAUCAAAUACUAAUGCCAUGAUCAUAUUAGACCAUGGGAACCAUUAAAACCAUCAAAUUGCCAAUAAUGCUCAAAUGGACAUCAAUCACUAAUACCAUUAUGGUGAUCAACAUUAUCCCUUUGUCAUCAUCACCAUUGUCAUCCAUUAUAUUACACUUAGAGGACCACCACCACCACCCAUUGUCAUUUUAACCAUCCUAUUCUCAUCACAUUCACCAUUGUUCCCAAACAUAAUUAAUCCAAUAAUAUUAUCUUGUCUUGAGUUAAAUUUGACAAAAAUGACGUCUCCCAAUAGAAUUUUGGUGCUUAUGCAUGCAUUUGUGCAUCUUUUUUGGGAUACAUAUCUUAUCUUUACACUCACAUUAUACUAUCAUUUGGUUGUUAAUGUUUGGAGACAAUUGGCAUUGGACAUUGAUGUUAAGUUAAAAGACUUUAGAAAUUAUGUACAUAGUAAGGUUGAGUUUAGCCUUAAUCAAAUAAAAUGUAAUGUAGUUUUUCCUACACCUUUGUAUAAAAAAUUAAUUUUUUUUUUUCAAAAUCUAGAAGUUAAAAAUAAUUUCUAGACUGUACAAUCUAGAAAUUAUAAAAAUAACUUUAAAACUAUACCAUCUGAAAGUCAAAAGUUACUUUCAAAUUAUAAAAACUUCUAAAUGGUGUAAUAAAAGAACUAGUCAUUUUUAGCUUUUAUAGUACACACUCCAAAAGUAAUUUUAACUUUUUGAAUUAUAUAAUGUAACAUUUAUUUUUGACUACCAGAUUGAAUAAUCUAGAAAUUAACAUAAGUAAGUUCAGAAAAAAAAUUGUCAAAAUAUAGUAAGACUGACCCAAAUCAAGAAUUUGGAAAUUACUUCCUGCACCUCAUCAAAUUUCUACUCCCACCCAUCAAAAUGUCUUCUGUAAAAGGAGGGAUUGAUUGGGUUCAGGAAAAAAGUUUCCAGAAUUGGUUAUUGUGUUCUGAAACAUAAAUUUCAGAAGUGGUAGGAUGCAUGAAGAAAAUGUAAGGUUCAGGAAGAAGCUGCCCAACAACUUUCAUACAUGACCCUUAUCAAUGUCUAGCAAUGAGCUAGCACAAUAACCACAUUGAUAUUUACUUGACAUUGAACAAUCUACCUCAGCAUUUAAUGUGUCAUGUCAUUAUGCUUGUAAUACUCAGUGGACAAGCAAAUGAUGAAAAUGGUGACAUUUCAUGAUCUUUCACAAAUGUGGGGAAACCCUAAUCUUAUUUUGAACAUAAAAUGAAAACCCUAACCCAACAAACACUAAACCAAGCACAUCAACAAGUUCCUAUUUUACCAACUUAUAGAGAGUUCAAAUGAAUGGGAUAUGGCACAAAAACAUGAAGGCGACAUUGGAAAACAAGAUAAACCAAAAUGAAGAAAAAAUGAGAGAUCUAUAGAGUUAAGAGAAGAUGAGAACCACAAAAAGAAACUGAGUUUUUGGAAGAUCCAAACGAAGAGUCAAAGAUGUAGUAUCCCACUUCUUAGAGAAGAUAACAUAAUAAUACCUCAGCAUGUGAUUGUGCAUGUUAAUGGCAAGUGACUUUGGGAGACAUAUAUCAAACACCUUGUUUGCAUAAUGGGUCCCUUCAAUUUCAUUCAUCUUCACCAUUACUCAUUUUUCAUAUAUGACAUAAAGCAAAACCCCCUUUCAAAUCACCAAAUUAUCUCAUUUAGCUCCAUAUCAAAUUGCUUUCUUGCUAUUCUCAAAAUUCGUACUUUAUUUAAUUAGUUCAAUUAUAAAUACUCACAAUUUAACCAUUGAAAAGGAUAUUAUUAAAGUUGUUAAGAGAAUACAUAAAUUGAAUGUUGAUAAACUUUAAGGAUGUUAUAAAUAAAUGAAAAAAAAUAAAAAAACAUAAUUUUAUAGACAGAGUAUUUUGUAGUAUGUACCUUGUGGCACUUUCAUUUUGAUGAAGAGGAUCAUGGCCUCCUCACUACCACAUAAUGCUGUGCUGGUUGGCUAGGGUUCUAAUCACCCACCAUCCAUUUUUGUUGCUGUCUCUUCUUUUCCCCCAUUCACCUACCCUUAUGGACCUUUUCAUGGACUUUCUAGUGGGCCUGGCCCACCCUCCUUCAAAUGGGCCCACCCCUCCAUUUGUGUUUUCUUGGUAGUCCCACUUAUGUCUCAAUCUUUCUUUUCAUACUCCCCACACUGCUUUGUGCCAU
RNAcentral lists this long non-coding RNA (3648 nucleotides) under Vigna radiata. Its description in RNAcentral is "long non-coding RNA (VRAD_LNC009543)". Lineage: Eukaryota; Viridiplantae; Streptophyta; Magnoliopsida; Fabales; Fabaceae. The record is from RNAcentral.